RNAcentral lists this ribosomal RNA (406 nucleotides) under uncultured bacterium. RNAcentral describes it as "partial 16S ribosomal RNA". It matches the Rfam family "Bacterial small subunit ribosomal RNA", at positions 30 to 526 of the family's 1533-position model. The record is from RNAcentral.
AUUGAACGCUGGCGGCAGGCCUAACACAUGCAAGUCGAACGGGUGGCGGACGGGUGAGUAAUGUCUGUGAAAGGGCCUGAUGGAUGGGGAUAACUACUGGAAACGGUAGCUGAUACCGCAUACCAUCAGAUGUGCCCAGAUGGGAAUAGCUUGUUGGUGGGGUAACGGCUCACCAAGGCGACGAUCCCUAGCUGGUCUGAGAGGAUGACCAGCCACACUGGAACUGCGACAAGGUCCAGACUCCUACGGGAGGCAGCAGUGGGGAAUAUUGAACAAUGGGCGAAAGCCUGAUGCAGCCAUGCCGCGUGUAUGAAGAAGGCCUUCGGGUUGUAAAGUACUUUAAGCGGGGAGGCGUUACCCGCAGAAGAAGCACCGGCUAACUCCGUGCCAGCAGCCGCGGUAAUAC